UACGGAAGGGGCGAGCGUUGUUCGGAAUCAUUGGGCGUAAAGGGCGUGUAGGUGGUUCUGUAUGUCUACCGUGAAAGCGUACGGCUCAACCGUAUUUAGUCGGUAGAAACUGCAGGACUUGAGGCUGGGAGGGGCUGGUGGAAUUCCCCGUGUAGCGGUGAAAUGCGUAGAGAUGGGGGAGAACACGCGUGGCGAAGGCGGCCAGCUAGACCAGUUCUGACACUGAGGCGCGACAGCGUGGGGAGCAAACAGG
Molecule: ribosomal RNA, 253 nt
Filed under: uncultured bacterium
Lineage: Bacteria
Description: partial 16S ribosomal RNA
Rfam family: Bacterial small subunit ribosomal RNA
Source: RNAcentral